This 468-nucleotide ribosomal RNA is filed under the name uncultured bacterium. RNAcentral describes it as "partial 16S ribosomal RNA". It matches the Rfam family "Bacterial small subunit ribosomal RNA", at positions 28 to 507 of the family's 1533-position model. The record is from RNAcentral.
GACGAACGCUGGCGGCGUGCUUAACACAUGCAAGUCGAACGGAAAGGCCCUGCUUUUGUGGGGUGCUCGAGUGGCGAACGGGUGAGUAACACGUGAGUAGCCUGCCCUUGACUUUGGGAUAACUUCAGGAAACUGGGGCUAAUACCGGAUAGGAGCUCCUGCUGCAUGGUGGGGGUUGGAAAGUUUCGGCGGUUGGGGAUGGACUCGCGGCUUAUCAGCUUGUUGGUGGGGUAGUGGCUUACCAAGGCUUUGACGGGUAGCCGGCCUGAGAGGGUGACCGGCCACAUUGGGACUGAGAUACGGCCCAGACUCCUACGGGAGGCAGCAGUGGGGAAUAUUGCACAAUGGGCGGAGGCCUGAUGCAGCAACGCCGCGUGCGGGAUGACGGCCUUCGGGUUGUAAACCGCUUUCGCCUGUGACGAAGCGUGAGUGACGGUAAUGGGUAAAGAAGCACCGGCUAACUACGUG